AUUGUUGCAGUUAAAAGCUCGUAGUUGAAUUUCUGCUGCAUUGCUUGUGUCCCUCUGGGGUCUGUGCAUGUGGCUUUUUUCGGACGGAGUUUCUUUGUCUGAAUGUUUACUUUGAGAAAAUUAGAGUGCUCAAAGCAGGCUUUCGCCUUGAAUAGUUUAGCAUGGAAUAAUAAAGUAGGACUUUGGUUCUAUUUUGUUGGUUUUAGGUACCAAAGUAAUGGUUAAUAGGAACAGUUGGGGGCAUUCGUAUUUAACUGUCAGAGGUGAAAUUCUUAGAUU
RNAcentral lists this ribosomal RNA (279 nucleotides) under Theileria annulata. RNAcentral's name for it is "partial small subunit ribosomal RNA". It matches the Rfam family "Eukaryotic small subunit ribosomal RNA", at positions 609 to 926 of the family's 1831-position model. The record is from RNAcentral. Lineage: Eukaryota; Apicomplexa; Aconoidasida; Piroplasmida; Theileriidae.